GGCGCUCAGUCGCCAGCCGCGGACGCGAAGCCGGGUGAUCUAUCCAUGGGCAGGCUGAGGCAGAGGUAAGACUCUGUGGAGGGCCGAACCCACUUCGGUUGAAAACGGAGGGGAUGACCUGUGGAUAGGGGUGAAAGGCCAAUCAAACCCGGAGAUAUCUCGUUCUCCCCGAAAUAGCUUUAGGGCUAGCCUCGAUCGCUUACCCGCGGUGGUAGAGCACUGGAUCCGUGAGGGGGCCUCAACAGCCUACCGACCGAAACCAAACUCCGAAUGCCGCGGGUCCCGAGAUCGGGAGUCAGAACAUGUGGGCUAAGCCGUGUGUUCGAGAGGGAAACAGCCCAGACCGCCUGCUAAGGUCCCCAAAUCAACGCUGAGUGGCAAAGGAUGUGCGUUUGCCUAGACAACCAGGAUGUUGGCUUAGAAGCAGCCAUGCAUUUAAAGAGUGCGUAACAGCUCACUGGUCAAGUGGACAUGCGCCGACAAUACACGGGGCUAAGCGUUGUACCGAAGCAGCGGACUGUUUUAUCAGUGGUAGGGGAGCUUUCCAUGCCGGGCCGAAGCGGAGAGGCGACUCUCCGUGGACUGCAUGGAAGUGAGAAUGCUGGCAUGAGUAACGAGAGAGGGGCGGGAAACCCCUCCGCCGUAAGCCUAAGGUUUCCUGGGCAAGGCUAAUCCCCCCAGGGUCAGUCGGGAGCUAAGGCGAGGCCGAGAGGCGUAGCCGAUGCGCAACAGGCGGACAUUCCUGUACCACCAGCCAUCGUUUGACGACGGGGCGACGGAGAAGGGUAGCCGGGCGGGGUUCUGGACGUCCCCGUGAAAGCGCGUAGGGAGCGGCUCAGGCAAAUCCGAGCCGCGCAUGUCCCGAGACGCGAGACGAAGCUUUUAGUGAAGCCGGCGAGCCCAUGCUUCCAAGAAAAACCCCUAAGGAGAGGGGCUGGUGCCCGUACCAAAACCGACACAGGUAGGCGGGUAGAGCAUACCAAGGCGAUCGGGAGAACCAUGGUUAAGGAACUCGGCAUACCGACCCCGUAACUUAGGGAGAAGGGGUGCCCCCGGGGGUGGAAGGACUUGCUCCUCGAGCCCGUGGGGGUCGCAGUGAAGAGGCCCAAGCGACUGUUUACCAAAAACACAGGACUCUGCCAAGCCGCAAGGCGAAGUAUAGGGUCUGACGCCUGCCCGGUGCUGGAAGGUUACGCGGAUGAGUUAGCGCAAGCGAAGCCCUGAAGCCAAGCCCCAGUAAACGGCGGCCGUAACUAUAACGGUCCUAAGGUAGCGAAAUUCCUUGUCGGGUAAGUUCCGACCUGCACGAAUGGCGUAACGACUUGGGCGCUGUCUCAACCAUGGACCCGGUGAAAUUGUAUUAUUCGUGAAGAUGCGAAUUACCUGCGGAAGGACGGAAAGACCCCGUGAACCUUUACUGCAGCUUGGCAUUGGCUGUUGGUGCGGUGCGUAGAGGAUAGGCAGGAGCCUGCGAACCGGGGACGCCAGUUCCCGGGGAGGCGACCUUGGAAUACUGCCCUCACCGCAUCGGCAGCCUAACGCGCCGCCCUCAUCGGGGGCGCGGACCGUGCCAGGUGGGUAGUUUGACUGGGGCGGUCGCCUCCUAAACUGUAACGGAGGCGUGCUAAGGUUCGCUCAGGGCGGUCGGCAAUCGCCCGCAGAGCACAAGAGUACAAGCGAGCCUGACUGCGAGACCAACAAGUCGAGCAGAGACGAAAGUCGGUUCUAGUGAUCCGGCGGCCCGGCGUGGAACGGCCGUCGCUCAACGGAUAAAAGGUACUCCGGGGAUAACAGGCUGAUCUUGCCCAAGAGUCCACAUCGACGGCAAGGUUUGGCACCUCGAUGUCGGCUCAUCGCAUCCUGGGGCUGUAGCAGGUCCCAAGGGUACGGCUGUUCGCCGUUUAAAGCGGUACGCGAGCUGGGUUCAGAACGUCGUGAGACAGUUCGGUCCCUAUCCUCCGUGGGCGCAAGAGAAUUGAGAGGAUCUGUCCCUAGUACGAGAGGACCGGGAUGGACGCACCUCUGGUGCCGCAGUUGUCGACCAACGGCACAGCUGCCUAGCUACGUGCGGUACGGAUAACCGCUGAAAGCAUCUAAGCGGGAAGCCGGCCUCGAGAUGAGUUCUCUUUUCGGUAAGGCCACUUCUAGACCAGGAGUUCGAUAGGCCGCAGCUGCAAGCCCUGCGAGGGGCUCAGGCGAGCGGUACUAAUCGGCCGAGCUCUUCAUCAA
RNAcentral lists this ribosomal RNA (2229 nucleotides) under human gut metagenome. RNAcentral's name for it is "bacterial LSU rRNA". It matches the Rfam family "Bacterial large subunit ribosomal RNA", at positions 691 to 2925 of the family's 2925-position model. The record is from RNAcentral.